RNAcentral lists this ribosomal RNA (429 nucleotides) under Bacillota bacterium. RNAcentral describes it as "Firmicutes bacterium partial 16S ribosomal RNA". It matches the Rfam family "Bacterial small subunit ribosomal RNA", at positions 355 to 776 of the family's 1533-position model. Lineage: Bacteria; Bacillati; Bacillota. The record is from RNAcentral.
UGGGGAAUUUUGGACAAUGGGCGAAAGCCUGAUCCAGCAAUGCCGCGUGUGUGAAGAAGGCCUUCGGGUUGUAAAGCACUUUUGUCCGGAAAGAAAUGGCUCUGGUUAAUACCUGGGGUCGAUGACGGUACCGGAAGAAUAAGGACCGGCUAACUACGUGCCAGCAGCCGCGGUAAUACGUAGGGUCCAAGCGUUAAUCGGAAUUACUGGGCGUAAAGCGUGCGCAGGCGGUUGUGCAAGACCGAUGUGAAAUCCCCGAGCUUAACUUGGGAAUUGCAUUGGUGACUGCACGGCUAGAGUGUGUCAGAGGGGGGUAAAAUUCCACGUGUAGCAGUGAAAUGCGUAGAGAUGUGGAGGAAUACCGAUGGCGAAGGCAGCCCCCUGGGAUAACACUGACGCUCAUGCACGAAAGCGUGGGGAGCAAACAGG